UCGCUAGUAAUCGCGGAUCAGCAUGCCGCGGUGAAUACGUUCCCGGGCCUUGUACACACCGCCCGUCACACCACGAGAGUUGGCAACACCCGAAGUCGGUGAGGUAACCUUUAUGGAGCCAGCCGCCGAAGGUGGGGCCAAUGAUUGGGGUGAAGUCGUAACAAGGUAGCCGUAUCGGAAGGUGCGGCUGG
RNAcentral lists this ribosomal RNA (191 nucleotides) under Halobacillus halophilus. RNAcentral describes it as "partial 16S ribosomal RNA". It matches the Rfam family "Bacterial small subunit ribosomal RNA", at positions 1332 to 1521 of the family's 1533-position model. The record is from RNAcentral. Lineage: Bacteria; Bacillati; Bacillota; Bacilli; Caryophanales; Bacillaceae. RNAcentral also lists the same sequence under 2 other names.